AGCGAACGCUGGCGGCAGGCUUAACACAUGCAAGUCGAGCGGGCGUAGCAAUACGUCAGCGGCAGACGGGUGAGUAACGCGUGGGAACGUACCUUUUGGUUCGGAACAACACAGGGAAACUUGUGCUAAUACCGGAUAAGCCCUUACGGGGAAAGAUUUAUCGCCGAAAGAUCGCCCCGCGUCUGAUUAGCUAGUUGGUGAGGUAACGGCUCACCAAGGCGACGAUCAGUAGCUGGUCUGAGAGGAUGAUCAGCCACAUUGGGACUGAGACACGGCCCAAACUCCUACGGGAGGCAGCAGUGGGGAAUAUUGGACAAUGGGGGCAACCCUGAUCCAGCCAUGCCGCGUGAGUGAUGAAGGCCCUAGGGUUGUAAAGCUCUUUUGUGCGGGAAGAUAAUGACGGUACCGCAAGAAUAAGCCCCGGCUAACUUCGUG
Molecule: ribosomal RNA, 435 nt
Filed under: uncultured bacterium
Lineage: Bacteria
Description: partial 16S ribosomal RNA
Rfam family: Bacterial small subunit ribosomal RNA
Source: RNAcentral